CCUCACACCAUCACUCUCGUCCCCAUCUCUCUCUCUCUCUCUCUCUCUCUCUCUCUCGAUUUUCAUCCUCCAUGAUCACCAUUGAAGAGACCUCUAAAGCUUCCUAAAAUCAUACCAAGAGCAAAAUCAUUUACUAAAUCAAGACCUAAACACUUUCUACUCCCUAAAUUCAAGAGAUCCUUAGAGUUAGUCUUGAAGCUAGAGAGAGAAACCUUGUUCUUUGUUUGAUCUUGGGCCCGAGCGAGACGAAGAAGUAAGUCGCCUGUUUUCUUUCUGAGCUUAAUCGAAGGACUUCAGGUUAAGCGAUGGAGCGAGAUUGGUCUAGUGCUGGCGGGGGAUUGUUUUGACUGAUGUAUCUCCCUUACUGUUAUUCGAUUGUUGAUAGAGUCCUAACGAUGAUACACUUUGCUUUCCUUUUGAGUGUUGAUAAAACCUUAAUGAUGAGAUACUUUGUUUUCUUUUAAUCAAGUAAUAUACUCACGGUUA
Long non-coding RNA from Salvia miltiorrhiza (redroot sage), 486 nucleotides. RefSeq lists it as uncharacterized. NCBI's taxonomy places the organism in Eukaryota, Viridiplantae, Streptophyta, Magnoliopsida, Lamiales, Lamiaceae. The transcript is spliced from 3 exons. The record is from RefSeq and is a predicted model, not a curated record.